UACGUAGGAUGCAAGCGUUGUCCGGAAUUAUUGGGCGUAAAGAGAACGUAGGUGGCUUGUUAAGUUCGGUCUUAAAGACCGGGGCUCAACCCCGGGAAUGGACUGAAAACUGGCAGGCUAGAGGAUGUCAGAGGAUGGUGGAAUUCCAAGUGUAGCGGUGAAAUGCGUAGAUAUUUGGAGGAACACCUGUGGCGAAAGCGGCCAUCUGGGGCAUUCCUGACACUGAGGUUCGAAAGCUCGGGGAGCAAACAGG
Molecule: ribosomal RNA, 253 nt
Filed under: uncultured bacterium
Lineage: Bacteria
Description: partial 16S ribosomal RNA
Rfam family: Bacterial small subunit ribosomal RNA
Source: RNAcentral